UUUGAAACAUUGUCCAUACCGUUUUUUUACGACGGCAUCGCCCGCCAUGUUAUCUAUAAUUCGGUAUCGAUUACGUAUCAUUAUGCGAAUAUUUAACAAGUACCUAUCCGUCCAACAAUACUCGGCGAGUAACCCAGCACGUUUUUCAUAUUAAAAUACAUACAAAUACCGGGAAAUGAUUAUACGGGGCCCACUAUUAAACGCAAACGACGAUAAACGUUCGUGUAAGUACUCGAGAAAUCACAAAACUAUAAGUUAUUUGAGGGGAGAAUAGGAAAAAAAACAAUCGCGUAAUGGAAAAUUAAUGUUCGUAAUUUAAACUAUAUUAUGUAUUAUU
Molecule: non-coding RNA, 337 nt
Organism: Cinara cedri
Lineage: Eukaryota; Metazoa; Arthropoda; Insecta; Hemiptera; Aphididae
Source: the annotation of a GenBank genome assembly